This 608-nucleotide ribosomal RNA is filed under the name Staphylococcus aureus. RNAcentral describes it as "bacterial SSU rRNA". It matches the Rfam family "Bacterial small subunit ribosomal RNA", at positions 934 to 1533 of the family's 1533-position model. Lineage: Bacteria; Bacillati; Bacillota; Bacilli; Caryophanales; Staphylococcaceae. The record is from RNAcentral.
GGAGCAUGUGGUUUAAUUCGAAGCAACGCGAAGAACCUUACCAAAUCUUGACAUCCUUUGACAACUCUAGAGAUAGAGCCUUCCCCUUCGGGGGACAAAGUGACAGGUGGUGCAUGGUUGUCGUCAGCUCGUGUCGUGAGAUGUUGGGUUAAGUCCCGCAACGAGCGCAACCCUUAAGCUUAGUUGCCAUCAUUAAGUUGGGCACUCUAAGUUGACUGCCGGUGACAAACCGGAGGAAGGUGGGGAUGACGUCAAAUCAUCAUGCCCCUUAUGAUUUGGGCUACACACGUGCUACAAUGGACAAUACAAAGGGCAGCGAAACCGCGAGGUCAAGCAAAUCCCAUAAAGUUGUUCUCAGUUCGGAUUGUAGUCUGCAACUCGACUACAUGAAGCUGGAAUCGCUAGUAAUCGUAGAUCAGCAUGCUACGGUGAAUACGUUCCCGGGUCUUGUACACACCGCCCGUCACACCACGAGAGUUUGUAACACCCGAAGCCGGUGGAGUAACCUUUUAGGAGCUAGCCGUCGAAGGUGGGACAAAUGAUUGGGGUGAAGUCGUAACAAGGUAGCCGUAUCGGAAGGUGCGGCUGGAUCACCUCCUUUCUAAGGA